UACGUAGGCAGCAAGCGUUGUUCGGAGUUACUGGGCGUAAAGGGUGUGUAGGCGGCCUUCUAAGUUUGGUGUGAAAUCUCCCGGCUCAACUGGGAGGGUGCGCCGAAUACUGAAGGGCUAGAGUGCGGGAGAGGAGAGUGGAAUUCCUGGUGUAGCGGUGAAAUGCGUAGAUAUCAGGAGGAACACCGGUGGUGUAGACGGCUCUCUGGACCGUAACUGACGCUGAUGCACGAAAGCUAGGGGAGCAAACAGG
Molecule: ribosomal RNA, 253 nt
Filed under: uncultured bacterium
Lineage: Bacteria
Description: partial 16S ribosomal RNA
Rfam family: Bacterial small subunit ribosomal RNA
Source: RNAcentral